RNAcentral lists this ribosomal RNA (371 nucleotides) under uncultured organism. RNAcentral's name for it is "bacterial SSU rRNA". It matches the Rfam family "Bacterial small subunit ribosomal RNA", at positions 527 to 896 of the family's 1533-position model. The record is from RNAcentral.
CGGGGGGGUAAGCGUUGUUCGGAAUUACUGGGCGUAAAGGGCUCGUAGGCGGCCAACUAAGUCAGACGUGAAAUCCCUCAGCUUAACUGGGGAACUGCGUCUGAUACUGGAUGGCUUGGAUUUGGGAGAGGGAUGCGGAAUUCCAGGUGUAGCGGUGAAAUGCGUAGAUAUCUGGAGGAACACCGGUGGCGAAGGCGGCAUCCUGGACCAACAUUGACGCUGAGGAGCGAAAGCCAGGGGAGCAAACGGGAUUAGAUACCCCGGUAGUCCUGGCCCUAAACGAUGAAUGCUAGGUGUGGCGGGUAUCGAUCCCUGCCGUGCCGAAGCUAACGCAUUAAGCAUUCCGCCUGGGGAGUACGGUCGCAAGGCUG